CCUACGCGAGGCAGCAGUGAGGAAUAUUGGUCAAUGGGCGCGAGCCUGAACCAGCCAAGUAGCGUGAAGGAUGACUGCCCUACGGGUUGUACACUUCUUUUAUAAAGGAAUAAAGUGAGGCACGUGUGCCUUUUUUUAUGUACUUUAUGAAUAAGGAUCGGCUAACUCCGUGCCAGCAGCCGCGGUAAUACGGAGGAUCCGAGCGUUAUCCGGAUUUAUUGGGUUUAAAGGGAGAGUAGAUGGGUAGUUAAGUCAGUUGUGAAAUUUUGCGGCUCAACCGUAAAAUUGCAAUUGAGACUGGCAGUCUUGAGUACAGUUGAGGUAGGCGGAAUGCGUGGUGUAGCGGUGAAAUGCUUAGAUAUCACGAAGAACUCCGAUUGCGAAGGCAGCUUACUAAACUGCCACUGACAUUGAUGCUCGAAAGUGUGGGUAUCAAACAGGAUUAGAUACCCCAGUAGUC
RNAcentral lists this ribosomal RNA (460 nucleotides) under uncultured bacterium. RNAcentral's name for it is "partial 16S ribosomal RNA". It matches the Rfam family "Bacterial small subunit ribosomal RNA", at positions 338 to 795 of the family's 1533-position model. The record is from RNAcentral.